GAUGAACGCUGGCGGCGUGCCUAAUACAUGCAAGUCGAGCGAACGGACGAGAAGCUUGCUUCUCUGACGUUAGCGGCGGACGGGUGAGUAACACGUGGAUAACCUACCUAUAAGACUGGGAUAACUUCGGGAAACCGGAGCUAAUACCGGAUAAUAUUUUGAACCGCAUGGUUCAAAAGUGAAAGACGGUCUUGCUGUCACUUAUAGAUGGAUCCGCGCUGCAUUAGCUAGUUGGUAAGGUAACGGCUUACCAAGGCAACGAUGCAUAGCCGACCUGAGAGGGUGAUCGGCCACACUGGAACUGAGACACGGUCCAGACUCCUACGGGAGGCAGCAGUAGGGAAUCUUCCGCAAUGGGCGAAAGCCUGACGGAGCAACGCCGCGUGAGUGAUGAAGGUCUUCGGAUCGUAAAACUCUGUUAUUAGGGAAGAACAUAUGUGUAAGUAACUAUGCACAUCUUGACGGUACCUAAUCAGAAAGCCACGGCUAACUACGUG
Molecule: ribosomal RNA, 497 nt
Filed under: uncultured bacterium
Lineage: Bacteria
Description: partial 16S ribosomal RNA
Rfam family: Bacterial small subunit ribosomal RNA
Source: RNAcentral